RNAcentral lists this ribosomal RNA (865 nucleotides) under uncultured bacterium. Its description in RNAcentral is "bacterial SSU rRNA". It matches the Rfam family "Bacterial small subunit ribosomal RNA", at positions 8 to 862 of the family's 1533-position model. The record is from RNAcentral.
AGAGUUUGAUCCUGGCUCAGGAAAAACAAGGGCGGCGUGCCUAAUACAUGCAAGUAGAACGCUGAAUAGAGGAGUUUGCUCUUCUUGGAUGAGUUGCGAACGGGUGAGUAACGCGUAGGUAACCUGCCUUGUAGCGGGGGAUAACUAUUGGAAACGAUAGCUAAUACCGCAUAACAAUGAACGACACAUGUCAUUUAUUUGAAAGGGGCAAUUGCUCCACUACAAGAUGGACCUGCGUUGUAUUAGCUAGUAGGUGAGGUAACGGCUCACCUAGGCGACGAUACAUAGCCGACCUGAGAGGGUGAUCGGCCACACUGGGACUGAGACACGGCCCAGACUCCUACGGGAGGCAGCAGUAGGGAAUCUUCGGCAAUGGGGGCAACCCUGACCGAGCAACGCCGCGUGAGUGAAGAAGGUUUUCGGAUCGUAAAGCUCUAUUGUAAGUCAAGAACGAGUGUGAGAGUGGAAAGUUCACACUGUGACGGUAGCUUACCAGAAAGGGACGGCUAACUACGUGCCAGCAGCCGCGGUAAUACGUAGGUCCCGAGCGUUGUCCGGAUUUAUUGGGCGUAAAGCGAGCGCAGGGGGUUUUGAUAAUUCUGAAGUUAAAGGCUGUGGGCUCAACCAUAGUUCGCUUUGGAAACUGUCAAACUUGAGGCAGAAGGGAGAGUGUAAUUCCAUGUGUAGCGGUGAAAUGCGUAGAUAUAUGGAGGAACACCGGUGGCGAGAGCGGCUCUCUGGUCUGUAACUGACGCUGAGGCUCGAGAGCGUGCGGAGCGACAGGAUUAGAUCCCUGUAUGCCACACCUAAACAAUGAGUGCUAAUGUAGAAUCAUUUUCGGGAUUCAGUGCGCGGUAACGCAUUG